AACGCGAAGAACCUUACCCAGGUUUGAAAUACAGUGGACGAUACCAGAGAUGGUAUUUCUCGCAAGGGCCACUGUACAGGUGCUGCAUGGCUGUCGUCAGCUCGUGCCGUGAGGUGUUGGGUUAAGUCCCGCAACGAGCGCAACCCUUAUCAUUAGUUGCCAACACGCGAGGUGGGGACUCUAAUGAGACUGCCUAGGUUAACUAGGAGGAAGGUGAGGAUGACGUCAAGUCCGCAUGGCCUUUAUGUCUGGGGCUACACACGUGCUACAAUGGCCGGUACAGAAGGCAGCAAAGUCGUAAGAUAGAGCAAAUCCGUAAAGCCGGUCUCAGUUCAGAUUGUAGUCUGCAACUCGACUACAUGAAGUCGGAAUUGCUAGUAAUGACGUGUCAGCAACAACGUCGUGAAUACGUUCCCGGGCCUUGUA
This 426-nucleotide ribosomal RNA is filed under the name uncultured Chlamydiae bacterium. RNAcentral's name for it is "bacterial SSU rRNA". It matches the Rfam family "Bacterial small subunit ribosomal RNA", at positions 958 to 1385 of the family's 1533-position model. Lineage: Bacteria; Pseudomonadati; Chlamydiota; Chlamydiia. The record is from RNAcentral.